RNAcentral lists this ribosomal RNA (328 nucleotides) under uncultured Paenibacillaceae bacterium. RNAcentral's name for it is "bacterial SSU rRNA". It matches the Rfam family "Bacterial small subunit ribosomal RNA", at positions 397 to 723 of the family's 1533-position model. Lineage: Bacteria; Bacillati; Bacillota; Bacilli; Caryophanales; Paenibacillaceae. The record is from RNAcentral.
CCGCGUGAGUGAUGAAGGUUUUCGGAUCGUAAAGCUCUGUUGCCAGGGAAGAACGCUUGUGAGAGUAACUGCUCUAAGAGUGACGGUACCUGAGAAGAAAGCCCCGGCUAACUACGUGCCAGCAGCCGCGGUAAUACGUAGGGGGCGAGCGUUGUCCGGAAUUAUUGGGCGUAAAGCGCGCGCAGGCGGCUGUUUAAGUCUGGUGUUUAAUCCUGGGGCUCAACCCCGGGUCGCACUGGAAACUGGACGGCUUGAGUGCAAAAGAGGAGAGUGGAAUUCCACGUGUAGCGGUGAAUGCGUAAAGUGUGGAGAACACCAUGGCGAAGCA